This 416-nucleotide RNase P RNA is filed under the name Azospirillum sp. TSO22-1. RNAcentral describes it as "Bacterial RNase P class A". It matches the Rfam family "Bacterial RNase P class A". Rfam says of the family: Ribonuclease P (RNase P) is a ubiquitous endoribonuclease, found in archaea, bacteria and eukarya as well as chloroplasts and mitochondria. Lineage: Bacteria; Pseudomonadati; Pseudomonadota; Alphaproteobacteria; Rhodospirillales; Azospirillaceae. The record is from Rfam by way of RNAcentral.
CCAGACGGCUGGAUGGUCGCCUUCGGCUUCGCGCCGGGGGAGGAAAGUCCGGGCUCCACGGAAACACGGUGCCGGUUAACGGCCGGCGGGGGCGACCCCAGGGAAAGUGCCACAGAAAGCAAACCGCCCACGGCAACCCUGAUACGUCAGGGGGGCCUGGGUAAGGGUGAAAGGGUGCGGUAAGAGCGCACCGCGCCCCCGGCGACGGGGGUGGCAGGGUAAACCCCACCGGGAGCAAGACCGAAUAGGGACGGCCGGGCCCGUUCUCCCCUUGGGAGAUCGUGGGCCAAGCGUGUUUCCGCGCUGCCGUCCGGGUUGGUCGCGCGAGGCGUCCGGCAACGGGCGUCCCAGAUGAAUGACCAUCCACCGGGGUCCAUCCCCGGGGACAAAACCCGGCUUACAGGCCGUCUGGCAUU